RNAcentral lists this long non-coding RNA (303 nucleotides) under Linum usitatissimum (flax). RNAcentral's name for it is "long non-coding RNA (LUSI_LNC007866)". The record is from RNAcentral. Lineage: Eukaryota; Viridiplantae; Streptophyta; Magnoliopsida; Malpighiales; Linaceae.
AAAAUCUGAAUGCUGCAGGACCAGUUGGCUUAGCUCAUUAGCCCAUAUGGGGUGCUUACGUGGGUGGAUCGGGUUGCAUAGUGUGGUGUCCCUUUCAUUGUUUGCUACCAUGUCAGCGGUUGCGGAUUUAGGAUGAUGUCAAAUAUUAUCGCAUGGAGUAAAAAAUAGGGUGUUUGGUCUAGUGGUACGAUUCUCGUUUUGAGUGCAAGAAUUCGUGAGUGUGGGACCCCUAUUAGAUUAUACCGCAUGGAGUCAAAUAACGGACGUAAGUACUUGUCACUCAGAUAAUUUGGAAGCCAUAUA